RNAcentral lists this ribosomal RNA (1429 nucleotides) under metagenome. Its description in RNAcentral is "bacterial SSU rRNA". It matches the Rfam family "Bacterial small subunit ribosomal RNA". The record is from RNAcentral.
AGAGUUUGAUCAUGGCUCAGAUUGAACGCUGGCGGCAGGCCUAACACAUGCAAGUCGAACGGUAACAGGAAACAGCUUGCUGUUUCGCUGACGAGUGGCGGACGGGUGAGUAAUGUCUGGGAAACUGCCUGAUGGAGGGGGAUAACUACUGGAAACGGUAGCUAAUACCGCAUAACGUCGCAAGACCAAAGAGGGGGACCCUCGGGCCUCUUGCCAUCGGAUGUGCCCAGAUGGGAUUAGCUUGUUGGUGGGGUAACGGCUCACCAAGGCGACGAUCCCUAGCUGGUCUGAGAGGAUGACCAGCCACACUGGAACUGAGACACGGUCCAGACUCCUACGGGAGGCAGCAGUGGGGAAUAUUGCACAAUGGGCGCAAGCCUGAUGCAGCCAUGCCGCGUGUAUGAAGAAGGCCUUCGGGUUGUAAAGUACUUUCAGCGGGGAGGAAGGGAGUAAAGUUAAUACCUUUGCUCAUUGACGUUACCCGCAGAAGAAGCACCGGCUAACUCCGUGCCAGCAGCCGCGGUAAUACGGAGGGUGCAAGCGUUAAUCGGAAUUACUGGGCGUAAAGCGCACGCAGGCGGUUUGUUAAGUCAGAUGUGAAAUCCCCGGGCUCAACCUGGGAACUGCAUCUGAUACUGGCAAGCUUGAGUCUCGUAGAGGGGGGUAGAAUUCCAGGUGUAGCGGUGAAAUGCGUAGAGAUCUGGAGGAAUACCGGUGGCGAAGGCGGCCCCCUGGACGAAGACUGACGCUCAGGUGCGAAAGCGUGGGGAGCAAACAGGAUUAGAUACCCUGGUAGUCCACGCCGUAAACGAUGUCGACUUGGAGGUUGUGCCCUUGAGGCGUGGCUUCCGGAGCUAACGCGUUAAGUCGACCGCCUGGGGAGUACGGCCGCAAGGUUAAAACUCAAAUGAAUUGACGGGGGCCCGCACAAGCGGUGGAGCAUGUGGUUUAAUUCGAUGCAACGCGAAGAACCUUACCUGGUCUUGACAUCCACGGAAGUUUUCAGAGAUGAGAAUGUGCCUUCGGGAACCGUGAGACAGGUGCUGCAUGGCUGUCGUCAGCUCGUGUUGUGAAAUGUUGGGUUAAGUCCCGCAACGAGCGCAACCCUUAUCCUUUGUUGCCAGCGGUCCGGCCGGGAACUCAAAGGAGACUGCCAGUGAUAAACUGGAGGAAGGUGGGGAUGACGUCAAGUCAUCAUGGCCCUUACGACCAGGGCUACACACGUGCUACAAUGGCGCAUACAAAGAGAAGCGACCUCGCGAGAGCAAGCGGACCUCAUAAAGUGGGUCGUAGUCCGGAUUGGAGUCUGCAACUCGACUCCAUGAAGUCGGAAUCGCUAGUAAUCGUGGAUCAGAAUGCCACGGUGAAUACGUUCCCGGGCCUUGUACACACCGCCCGUCACACCAUGGGAGUGGGUUGCAAAAGAAGU